UGAGGAAUCUGUCCAUCGGCGGGGGAUAGCCGGCCCAACGGCCGGGUAAUACCGCGUACGUCGGCGGGAGCGCAUGCUCCUGCCGGGAAAGCAGCAAUGCACCGAUGGAGGAUCUCGCGGCCUAUCAGCUUUGUUGGUGAGGUCACGGCUCACCAAGGCGACGACGGGUAGCUGGUCUGAGAGGAUGAUCAGCCACAGUUGGGACUGAGACACCGGCAGUA
Molecule: ribosomal RNA, 221 nt
Filed under: uncultured bacterium
Lineage: Bacteria
Description: partial 16S ribosomal RNA
Rfam family: Bacterial small subunit ribosomal RNA
Source: RNAcentral